AUGGACUUCUGCAUUCAAAAAACAAAACAAACACAUAAAAUAUUAGCGAAAGUCUCUCAUCUAAUGAGAAGCACAUAGAGCUGAUAAACAUAAAAAUCGAAACUUUAUUUAUCUUUGUUGUUCUCUUUGGGUCACAAUAGACCGGCCCAUUAGCCUAGUCACACCGGCCCAUUAGCCCAGUCAACUCCAUUGUAGAAGAGAGGACUUGAUUUUGGGUGAGAUUGAGAGAGAGAAGAAGAGAAUCGUCAAGUGUUUAUGGUGGUGAAAGUUAUAAGAAUCGUUAAAUUUGACGAAAGGUUUUACGCUUAUUUUUCGUGUGUGCAUUGCGUAUAAUGAUUUACCGUUGUUAGCACAUCAACAGCCAUUUGGAGAAGCAAACUGAAUUGCUUUUAGAAACUCGUAAAACGAUGACUCAAGAACUCCAAACACUUGAGGUGGAAGAAGAGAUGAUGAUGCGGAAAUUCUAUGAGUUAAUGUCUAGACAGCGCUUAAAUAAGAAGAAAAUGGAGAAGACUCAAAAUGUGUCACAUGGUAAAGAAAUAGUUGAAGUGGAAGAUACUUCUAGUACAUCCAGAGAGUUAAUCGUAUAUGUAAGGAAAAGGAAAAAGAAUCAAAAGCCAACAUAAUGAAGAUAUCCAUUUCUUGUUUAAGUGAUGGAUAUAGUUUUCACAUUGUUUAUGGUGUGCAAUAAUAAGUUGUAUUUUUUGAGUGAUGAAAAUUUAUACGGGUAUGUAGUCAUGAACCUUGUAAGAUGUUCUUGGGGUCAUAAGAGUUUUAUCUGAUCCUGCGAGACGAUAAUUUAAUAACAUUACAAGCAAAAUAUAUCCAUUGAAG
RNAcentral lists this long non-coding RNA (834 nucleotides) under Arabidopsis thaliana (thale cress). RNAcentral describes it as "[] (AT2G23040)". The record is from RNAcentral. Lineage: Eukaryota; Viridiplantae; Streptophyta; Magnoliopsida; Brassicales; Brassicaceae.